This 414-nucleotide ribosomal RNA is filed under the name uncultured prokaryote. Its description in RNAcentral is "bacterial SSU rRNA". It matches the Rfam family "Bacterial small subunit ribosomal RNA", at positions 355 to 774 of the family's 1533-position model. The record is from RNAcentral.
UGGGGAAUAUUGCGCAAUGGGCGAAAGCCUGACGCAGCGACGCCGCGUGGAGGAAGACGGCCUUCGGGUUGUAAACUCCUGUCAGGGGUGAAGAAACUUCGCAAGAAGCUGACGGUAACCCCAGAGGAAGCCCCGGCUAACUACGUGCCAGCAGCCGCGGUAAUACGUAGGGGGCAAGCGUUGCUCGGAAUUACUGGGCGUAAAGGGUGUGUAGGUGGCUGAUUAAGUUAAGGAUGAAAUCCCGAGGCUCAACUUCGGAACUGUCCUUGAUACUGGUCAGCUUGAGGCUAGUAAAGGAGAGCGGAAUUCCCGGUGGAGCGGUGAAAUGCGUAGAUAUCGGGAGGAACGCCAGUGGCGAAGACAGGUGACUGGGCCGGUUCUGACACUGAGGCACGAAAGCGUGGGGAGCGAACG